Molecule: ribosomal RNA, 841 nt
Filed under: uncultured euryarchaeote
Lineage: Archaea; Methanobacteriati; Methanobacteriota
Description: bacterial SSU rRNA
Rfam family: Archaeal small subunit ribosomal RNA
Source: RNAcentral
GGAGGCCACUGCUAUUGGGGUUCGACUAAGACAUGCGAGUCGAGAGGGUUCGGCCCUCGGCGCACGGCUCAGUAACACGUGGCUAACCUACCCUCGGGACGGGGAUAACCCCGCGAAAGUGGGGAUAAUACCCGAUAGAUGGGAAAACCUGGAAUGGUUUCCCAUCCAAACCCUGCGGGGCCCGAGGAUGGGGCUGCGGCCGAUUAGGUUGUUGGUGGGGUAACGGCCCACCAAGCCUACGAUCGGUACGGGCAGUGAGAGCUGGAGCCCGGAGAUGGGGACUGAGACACGGCCCCAGGCCCUACGGGGCGCAGCAGUCGCGAAACCUCCGCAAUGCGCGCAAGCGUGACGGGGGAACCCCAAGUGCCAAUGGGCACACCGCUCAUUGGCUGUUCUCCAGUGUAAAAAGCUGGAGGAGAAAGAGGAGGGUAAGACCGGUGCCAGCAUCCGCGGUAAUACCGGCUCCUCGAGUGGUGGCCACUCUUACUGGGCCUAAAGCGUUCGUAGCCGGCCUGGUAAGUCCCUGGGUAAAUCCGGCGGCUUAACCGUCGGAAUUCUGGGGAUACUGCCAGGCUUGGGACCGUUAGAGGCCAGGGGUACUCCCGGGGGAGGGGUGAAAUCCUGUAAUCCCGGGGGGACCACCAGUGGCGAANGCGCCUGGCUGGGGCGGAUCCGACGGUGAGGGACGAAACCCAGGGGAGCGACCCGGAUUAGAUACCCGGUUAGUCCUGGGCGUAAAGGAUGCGGGCCAGGUGUCGCGACUGCUACGAGCAGUCGCGGUGCCGAAGGGAAGCCGUUAAGCCCGCCGCCUGGGGAGUACGGUCGCAAGGCUGAAACUUAA